AAAAUACACCUAGACAGUGUGUGUGUGUGUGUGUGUGUGUGUGUAUAUAUAUAUAUAUACACACACACACACACACAUACAGGGAGUGCAGAAU
Non-coding RNA from Pelobates cultripes (western spadefoot toad), 94 nucleotides. Lineage: Eukaryota; Metazoa; Chordata; Amphibia; Anura; Pelobatidae. The record is from the annotation of a GenBank genome assembly.